Molecule: transfer RNA, 73 nt
Filed under: Acidimicrobiia bacterium
Lineage: Bacteria; Bacillati; Actinomycetota; Acidimicrobiia
Also listed under: 1 other name
Description: tRNA-Phe
Rfam family: tRNA
About the family: Transfer RNA (tRNA) molecules are approximately 80 nucleotides in length. Their secondary structure includes four short double-helical elements and three loops (D, anti-codon, and T loops).
Source: RNAcentral
GGUCAGGUAGCUCAGUUGGUAGAGCGCUGGUCUGAAAAACCAGAGGUCGGCGGAUCGAUCCCGCCCCUGACCA